UCUAGUCCCUAAUUCUAAACAAAGUAUGACAAAAGACCUCUCCUCGAUUUUCACAUCUGAAAAAUUAAAGAAACUAAUAAAUAGGGGAAUUUAAUAUUGAUUUCAAAACUAGUUUUUCUUUAAAAAAAUCCCUAAACCUAGGUUGGCUCGCCGUUUUCCCAAGUUCAUCUACAAUAGAUUUCUCGCCGCUUUCCUAAAGUCAUCUAAAACUUGCUACUAUUCCAAAUUCCUUAAGAAGAUCUUGCACCAGAAAUCCUUUUAGCAGGGAGCUUCCUAUUCUUUGUAGUAUGUAAAGGGUUUAAAGAGUUUCAAUUACAACUCAAGAUGAGAACUUUGAAGAUUUAUCAAGUUGAGAAAUUAAUCAGGAAAAAAAUAUAAAAAUAUUAUUGUUCUAUGAGAUUUUAUAAACCAUAUCAUGAUAUAUGUAUUGUGUUCAUACUGCUACAAGUGGGAUUUAUUCUCCCCUCUUCUGCCAGGGUUUGAAUUUGGUUAAGGAGCUCUUGAAUGCGUUGUUCCACCAGCUCCGAAAAAACAGCAGGCACAUGCUCUAAUAUAUUUUGUAGUUAUUACAAAUUUUUAAUCUAUAAAUAUUUUUUCGUAUUGCAAAUUUUGAAUUUAUUGAUAAAUUGAUUUUUUAAUUUGAUUAUUUAUAGAUAAUUAUUGUAUAAAUUCAAAAAACACGCCACUUUGGGAUACUCUUUACAGACCAGACUUUUUGUCAUAAAAUUGUUUUUAGGACCAGGAUAAUAAUGGUACUAAAAUUUUCUUGGGAACAGUUAAUAUUUGCUUACGACUAGAUUUCAUGUCGCUGAAAGUGUUUUAGGGACAUGAAGUUUUUCGGUCUCCAAAAUCCUCUGAGGAUCAGUAAAUUAGUCUUGUCGUUACUGAUCUUUUGUGACGAAGACGAUUGCGAUGGCUGACGACCAAAUUUCUCUGGUCGCAAUUCACUUUUAAGGACUAGAAUAAGACUUUUAAGGACGAGUUUUCCCUUUGUUAGUGGACAUUUUUGUUGUAGUGGUUACUCUUAUUGACUUGGGAGAGAUUGAUACGUUACACAUUGAUGUUAUCUUGUGUUUGGAUUAGCUGCACUCAUGC
This 1095-nucleotide long non-coding RNA is filed under the name Solanum lycopersicum (tomato). Its description in RNAcentral is "partial TCONS_00157906". Lineage: Eukaryota; Viridiplantae; Streptophyta; Magnoliopsida; Solanales; Solanaceae. The record is from RNAcentral.